RNAcentral lists this ribosomal RNA (253 nucleotides) under uncultured bacterium. Its description in RNAcentral is "partial 16S ribosomal RNA". It matches the Rfam family "Bacterial small subunit ribosomal RNA", at positions 524 to 776 of the family's 1533-position model. The record is from RNAcentral.
UACGGGGGGGGCAAGCGUUGUUCGGAAUUAUUGGGCGUAAAGCGUGCGUAGGCGGCUAUUUAAGUCUGGUGUUAAAGCUAGGGGCUCAACCCCUGUGUUGCACUGGAAACUGGGUAGCUUGAGUGCGGUAGGGGAAGGUGGAAUUCCGAGUGUAGCGGUGAAAUGCGUAGAUAUUCGGAAGAACACCGGUGGCGAAGGCGGGUCUCUGGACAGUUCCUGACGCUGAGGCACGAAGGCCAGGGGAGCAAACGGG